This 253-nucleotide ribosomal RNA is filed under the name uncultured bacterium. RNAcentral describes it as "partial 16S ribosomal RNA". It matches the Rfam family "Bacterial small subunit ribosomal RNA", at positions 524 to 776 of the family's 1533-position model. The record is from RNAcentral.
UACGGAGGGUGCAAGCGUUAUCCGGAUUCACUGGGGUUAAAGGGUGCGUAGGUGGGCAAGUAAGUCAGUGGUGAAAUCUCCGGGCUUAACCCGGAAACUGCCAUUGAUACUAUUUGUCUUGAAUACUGUGGAGGUCAGCGGAAUAUGUCAUGUAGCGGUGAAAUGCUUAGAUAUGACAUAGAACACCAAUUGCGAAGGCAGCUUACUACACAGUUAUUGACACUGAGGCACGAAAGCGUGGGGAUCAAACAGG